UCGAGAGUGCCGGUUGCCAAGGUUUCCGGCAGGGUGACGUGUAAAUUCAGUAACCUACUGGCAGAGUAAAAGGACGCGAGGGGCAGGAUGAGUACCCGUGUUUCUGUUAGUUAAUCGAACCGGUUGCCGGAAUGUUUGCUUAAGUGCAUCCGUUCUGUCAAUUAUUAAAGUGGUUACUUUUUUG
This 184-nucleotide non-coding RNA is filed under the name unclassified sequences. Its description in RNAcentral is "RT-7 RNA". It matches the Rfam family "RT-7 RNA". From Rfam's summary of the family: Bacteroidales. Nearby to self-splicing intron genes The record is from Rfam by way of RNAcentral.